RNAcentral lists this transfer RNA (16 nucleotides) under Acrocephalus longirostris. RNAcentral describes it as "partial tRNA-Lys". Lineage: Eukaryota; Metazoa; Chordata; Aves; Passeriformes; Sylviidae. The record is from RNAcentral.
CCCCCUCCUUAAUGGC